UCUAGAAAACACCUUGCUGCAAAAUUGAAGCUGCUAAAAUCGGAAUACUUGAAAUCGAUUGCUGCAAAAUCGAAAAGAGAGAAAUCGAAGCCAGAUUGAAAGGCCCAGAUCGUGGUUUCCUCUCUCCAAACAAAUUGUGUUUCCUCUCUCCAAUAUCAGACCCAAAUCACGAUUCACCCAUCUUGGGUAGAUAGGUUGAACAAAUCGGCACUCGGCAUCCCCUAUUUCAGAUUCAAGCUCAAAAAUCUAUUUCGGUGAUAAGAAGACUAAGAAUCGGUAUAUAUUUCAGUAAAACAUUCAUUAUCAUCCUUCACUAUGUGCUUUCUGCGAGAUUCUUUCCCUACCCAAUGUUGUCGAGGUCUGAAAUUUUUUUCCAUUAUGUAUUUUGGGCUUAUUUUGUGGUUUAUGUUUUGCUGAGCCAAUAACUUAUUUGUUAGCUCUAAGAAUUGGAAAUUUUGAUUAGUAUUAGGCUUUAUACUGGGUAUUCGGGCACUUAUUUUGGCUUUGCUUAGUUAUAAAUUUAUCAAAUUAGCUAAUUUGUUAGCUCUAACAAUUAGAAAUUUUAUACAAGUAUGGACAAACUAAGAAAAACAGAGUUGUUGAGUGACUGUCCUAGCUCUAACCUAACUGACAUUCCGCAUAAAAUUUUGAAAAUAAAUAAAGAUACAAUUUUUGUGAAAUUUGGGAAAGACCCUUAAGCUUUAUAGCUGGAUUUGCUUUAUCCCUCAUGAACUCUCUUAUUCCAUCUUCAUUACAGCAACUAACAAGGAAGUUUCUGUAGGUAGUUGAGCACAGUAGCCACCAUUAAUUAAUUUAAUUUUUUAGAAUUUUGUUAUCUUUAUGUAGUGUACAUGUGGUAGAAGGGAGAUAGGU
RNAcentral lists this long non-coding RNA (873 nucleotides) under Panax ginseng (ginseng). RNAcentral describes it as "long non-coding RNA (PGIN_LNC005006)". Lineage: Eukaryota; Viridiplantae; Streptophyta; Magnoliopsida; Apiales; Araliaceae. The record is from RNAcentral.